AAUCUUGAUGCUUCAUAUAACCAAAGCAUCCGCCUGAGAACUACGAGCACAAACGCUUAAAACUCUAAGGACUUGGCGGUGUCCCAAACCCACCUAGAGGAGCCUGUUCUAUAAUCGAUAACCCACGAUACACCCGACCACUUCUUGCCAAAACAGCCUACAUACCGCCGUCGCCAGCCCACCUCUUUUGAGAGCGCCACAGUGAGCACAAUCGCCCUAACCCCGCUAACAAGACAGGUCAAGGUAUAGCUCAUGAAGUGGAAGAAAUGGGCUACAUUUUCUAGCUUAGAAAACUCACGAAAAGGGGCAUGAAAUAGCCCCUAGAAGGCGGAUUUAGCAGUAAAGCGGGAUAACAUAAGCCCCCUUUAAGCCGGCCCUGGGGCACGUACACAC
RNAcentral lists this ribosomal RNA (393 nucleotides) under Streptopelia orientalis (eastern turtle dove). RNAcentral's name for it is "partial small subunit ribosomal RNA". It matches the Rfam family "Bacterial small subunit ribosomal RNA", at positions 805 to 1390 of the family's 1533-position model. The record is from RNAcentral. Lineage: Eukaryota; Metazoa; Chordata; Aves; Columbiformes; Columbidae.